This 93-nucleotide non-coding RNA is filed under the name Mesodinium rubrum. Lineage: Eukaryota; Ciliophora; Litostomatea; Cyclotrichida; Mesodiniidae. The record is from RNAcentral.
CUCGACAUCCUCAUUGAGGGUUCCAAUGGCGCAUCUGACUACGGUAACAAAUACGGCGAGCCGCUCAUCUGCGGUUUCACUCGUUCGUAUGCU